Molecule: ribosomal RNA, 470 nt
Filed under: Bathyphantes gracilis
Lineage: Eukaryota; Metazoa; Arthropoda; Arachnida; Araneae; Linyphiidae
Description: eukaryotic LSU rRNA
Source: RNAcentral
UGUGGCAGGGGCAUUCAGUCGGGGUGAUGAGACGAGCGCUGGGAUAUGAAGAAGAAGGUACCCGCGACGGGACCGUCUCGGCGUUCGCUUCGAUUCUCACCGACGCAUUUGCUCCCUGCCCGAUAGGACGCCGCAACCGGUUGGGGGACGGCCUUAUGGGCGAGAAAUGGUAGUUGGCCGGUGGCGUGCCUCGUGCGCGUCGCUGGACUCUGGCCGUCUCGUCGCGCGGCCCGUACCCCGACCGUGGCAAGAAAUAUGCCUAUGACUAGGCUUAGACGUCUCCUCCUUUAUAAGGUGGCGGAUAGAAGCGUGGCAGGGGAUUGAUGGCUUGCGGGCGCACGGACCGACUCCGUGGCCCAGCGUUUCGUCGUCCUCGUUGGCUGCGCAAGGUCCGCACGGAGUGCUGACGGUUGGCGGCGAGUAGAUCGGUCACCCACCCGACCCGUCUUGAAACACGGACCAAGGAGUGC